GCAAACUUGGUCAUUUAGAGGAAGUAAAAGUCGUAACAAGGUCUCCGUUGGUGAACCAGCGGAGGGAUCAUUAUCGAGUUUACAACUCCCUAACCCACUGUGAACCUACCUAUCGUUGCUUCGGCGGGACCGCCCCGGCGCCGACUCUCAGGCCCGGAACCAGGCGCCCGCCGGGGGCCAUCAAACCUCUGUUUUUUUACGUUUGCAUCUCUGAUUACGCAAAAACAAUGAAUCAAAACUUUCAACAACGGAUCUCUUGGCUCUGGCAUCGAUGAAGAACGCAGC
RNAcentral lists this unclassified non-coding RNA (285 nucleotides) under uncultured fungus. RNAcentral describes it as "partial contains small subunit ribosomal RNA, internal transcribed spacer 1, and 5.8S ribosomal RNA". The stretch from base 1 to 73 matches the Rfam family "Eukaryotic small subunit ribosomal RNA", at positions 1759 to 1831 of the family's 1831-position model. The record is from RNAcentral. Lineage: Eukaryota; Fungi.